UGGCGGACGGGUGAGUAACGCGUGGGUAUCUAUCCAUGGGUGGGGGAUAACGGCGGGAAACUGCUGCUAAUACCGCAUGAUGCCCGAGGGCCAAAGGCGCAAGUCGCCUGUGGAGGAGCCUGCGUCCGAUUAGCUAGUUGGUGGGGUAACUGCCUACCAAGGCUACGAUCGGUAGCUGGUCUGAGAGGAUGAUCAGCCACACUGGGACUGAGACACGGCCCAGACUCCUACGGGAGGCAGCAGUGGGGAAUAUUGGACAAUGGGCGAAAGCCUGAUCCAGCAAUGCCGCGUGGAUGAAGAAGGUCUUCGGAUUGUAAAGUCCUUUCGGCGGGGACGAUAAUGACGGUACCCGCAGAAGAAGCCCCGGCUAACUUCGUGCCAGCAGCCGCGGUAAUACGAAGGGGGCUAGCGUUGCUCGGAAUGACUGGGCGUAAAGGGCGCGUAGGCGGUUUGGUUAGUUAGACGUGAAAUUCCCGGGCUCAACCUGGGGACUGCGUUUAAGAC
This 504-nucleotide ribosomal RNA is filed under the name uncultured Acetobacteraceae bacterium. RNAcentral's name for it is "bacterial SSU rRNA". It matches the Rfam family "Bacterial small subunit ribosomal RNA", at positions 96 to 633 of the family's 1533-position model. Lineage: Bacteria; Pseudomonadati; Pseudomonadota; Alphaproteobacteria; Acetobacterales; Acetobacteraceae. The record is from RNAcentral.